AUUGAACGCUGGCGGCAGGCCUAACACAUGCAAGUCGAACGGUAACAGGAAGCAGCUUGCUGCUUCGCUGACGAGUGGCGGACGGGUGAGUAAUGUCUGGGAAACUGCCUGAUGGAGGGGGAUAACUACUGGAAACGGUAGCUAAUACCGCAUAACGUCGCAAGACCAAAGAGGGGGACCUUAGGGCCUCUUGCCAUCGGAUGUGCCCAGAUGGGAUUCGCUAGUAGGUGGGGUAACGGCUCACCUAGGCGACGAUCCCUAGCUGGUCUGAGAGGAUGACCAGCCACACUGGAACUGAGACACGGUCCAGACUCCUACGGGAGGCAGCAGUGGGGAAUAUUGCACAAUGGGCGCAAGCCUGAUGCAGCCAUGCCGCGUGUAUGAAGAAGGCCUUCGGGUUGUAAAGUACUUUCAGCGGGGAGGAAGGGAGUAAAGUUAAUACCUUUGCUCAUUGACGUUACCCGAAGAAGAAGCGCCGGCUAACUCCGUG
This 490-nucleotide ribosomal RNA is filed under the name uncultured bacterium. RNAcentral describes it as "partial 16S ribosomal RNA". It matches the Rfam family "Bacterial small subunit ribosomal RNA", at positions 30 to 507 of the family's 1533-position model. The record is from RNAcentral.